GAAAAAGAGACAUAAUUUGAUAUUGAAUUUAAAAAAAAAACGAUAUUAAAUAGUUGACACUUAAUAAAUUGUAUCAGAGUUCAUUUUAUUUGAUAGUUUCAUAAUGGGUUUCUAUUUAAUAUACACCUGUGUCGGAGACAUAAUUUCACAGUGUGACAUGUAUAUUAGGCUUGAAUUAUUCGAUGGUCAGGUAAAUCACAACCGGCGUUUUGCAUUUGCGCCGAUCUGCAUUUCAUUUGCGCCGAUUUUUUCUUUCAUUUGCGCCGAUUUUUGUUUUCAUUUGCGCCGAUUUUUUUACAGGUAAAUUACAGGUUAAUUACAGGUGAAUAGAUAUAAGAAGAUUUGGUAUGAGUGCAAAUGAGACAACUCUCCAUCCAAGUCAUGUUUUUUGUUAUAUUUAUCAUUAUAGACCUCUUCCGUCAUCCAGUUGUACACUAUAUUUACAUACUUUAAAAUCAAGAAGUAAAACCCUUAGAUUAAAACACUCUGGUUUAUACUAAAAUGACUUUUUAAAAUCUAUUUACAGCAU
This 529-nucleotide long non-coding RNA is filed under the name Mytilus galloprovincialis (Mediterranean mussel). The record is from RNAcentral. Lineage: Eukaryota; Metazoa; Mollusca; Bivalvia; Mytilida; Mytilidae.